Molecule: ribosomal RNA, 402 nt
Filed under: bacterium
Lineage: Bacteria
Description: partial 16S ribosomal RNA
Rfam family: Bacterial small subunit ribosomal RNA
Source: RNAcentral
UGGGGAAUUUUGCACAAUGGGGGAAACCCUGAUGCAGCGACGCCGCGUGAUUUAGAAGGCCUUCGGGUUGUAAAAAUCUUUUCUAUGGGAAGAAAAUGACAGUACCAUAGGAAUAAGGACCGGCUAAUUACGUGCCAGCAGCCGCGGGAAUACGUAAGGUCCGAGCGUUGUCCGGAAUCAUUGGGCGUAAAGGGUACGUAGGCGGGUAAGCAAGUUAGAAGUGAAAUCCUAUAGCUCAACUAUAGUAAGCUUUUAAAACUGCUCAUCUUGAGGUAUGGAAGGGAAAGUGGAAUUCCUAGUGUAGCGGUGAAAUGCGCAGAUAUUAGGAGGAAUACCGGUGGCGAAGGCGACUUUCUGGCCAUAACCUGACGCUGAGGUACGAAAGCGUGGGUAGCAAACAGG